RNAcentral lists this ribosomal RNA (528 nucleotides) under Metarhizium anisopliae. Its description in RNAcentral is "partial 18S ribosomal RNA". The stretch from base 149 to 305 matches the Rfam family "5.8S ribosomal RNA". Lineage: Eukaryota; Fungi; Ascomycota; Sordariomycetes; Hypocreales; Clavicipitaceae. The record is from RNAcentral.
GAAUGGAUCAUUACCGAGUUAUCCAACUCCCAACCCCUGUGAAUCAUACCUUUAAUUGUUGCUUCGGCGGGACUUCGCGCCCGCCGGGGACCCGAACCUUCUGAAUUUUUUAAUAAGUAUCUUCUGAGUGGUUAAAAAAAUGAAUCAAAACUUUCAACAACGGAUCUAAACCUGGUUCUGGCAUCGAUGAAGAACGCAGCGAAAUGCGAUAAGUAAUGUGAAUUGCAGAAUUCAGUGAAUCAUCGAAUCUUUGAACGCACAUUGCGCCCGUCAGUAUUCUGGCGGGCAUGCCUGUUCGAGCGUCAUUACGCGCGCCCCAAGUCCCCUGUGGAUGGUGUUGGGGAUCGGCGAGGCUGGUUUUCCAGCACAGCCGUCCCUUAAAUUAAAUGGCGGUCUCGCCGUGGCCCUCCUCUGCGCAGUAGUAAAACACUCGCAACAGGAGCCCGGCGCGUCCACUGCCGUAAAACUAUUGCGGGCCUACUUGGGCUAAACUUUUUAUAGUUGACCUCGAAUCAGGUAGGACAUUAU